This 464-nucleotide ribosomal RNA is filed under the name Vreelandella stevensii. RNAcentral's name for it is "partial 16S ribosomal RNA". It matches the Rfam family "Bacterial small subunit ribosomal RNA", at positions 338 to 795 of the family's 1533-position model. Lineage: Bacteria; Pseudomonadati; Pseudomonadota; Gammaproteobacteria; Oceanospirillales; Halomonadaceae. The record is from RNAcentral.
CCUAGGGAGGCUGCAGUGGGGAAUAUUGGACAAUGGGCGAAAGCCUGAUCCAGCCAUGCCGCGUGUGUGAAGAAGGCCUUCGGGUUGUAAAGCACUUUCAGUGGGGAAGAAAGCCUUGGGGCUAAUACCCUCGAGGAAGGACAUCACCCACAGAAGAAGCACCGGCUAACUCCGUGCCAGCAGCCGCGGUAAUACGGAGGGUGCGAGCGUUAAUCGGAAUUACUGGGCGUAAAGCGCGCGUAGGCGGUCUGAUAAGCCGGUUGUGAAAGCCCCGGGCUCAACCUGGGAACGGCAUCCGGAACUGUCAGGCUAGAGUGCAGGAGAGGAAGGUAGAAUUCCCGGUGUAGCGGUGAAAUGCGUAGAGAUCGGGAAGAAUACCAGUGGCGAAGGCGGCCUUCUGGACUGACACUGACGCUGAGGUGCGAAAGCGUGGGUAGCAAACAGGAUUAGAUACCCCAGUAGUC